GAAGGAAAGCACGAAGCCAGAUCUCCGGAUCUAGACAGCACUGCCAUUUACUUGGGUCAUCUGUAGAUACACCAAAAUUCUACCCACCACAACAGCUUGUAACACAGUUUUGCCCUUCUGGUCAUUCGGGUUAGUUAUUAAUUGGGCAGAUCCAUGGAUUUCCUGGUGUGCUGUGAGCUGCACUGGACACUGAGCAAUUCUAGAGGGACAGCACACAUGACCCUGAUCCAGAUCCUGCCUUGAGGAAACACAGAGAAGGACACAGAGGAUCCUGAAAUGACACAGUGUGAUAAGAUCUCAAGUUUUCACCUGGAGCGAGCCUCCAAUUGAGAUCCUAGCUAUGUCU
Molecule: long non-coding RNA, 346 nt
Organism: Dipodomys spectabilis (banner-tailed kangaroo rat)
Lineage: Eukaryota; Metazoa; Chordata; Mammalia; Rodentia; Heteromyidae
Exons: 3
Source: RefSeq, a predicted model, not a curated record